RNAcentral lists this long non-coding RNA (777 nucleotides) under Brassica napus (rape). RNAcentral describes it as "long non-coding RNA (BNAP_LNC020531)". Lineage: Eukaryota; Viridiplantae; Streptophyta; Magnoliopsida; Brassicales; Brassicaceae. The record is from RNAcentral.
ACUUGAGGGAAGUUGGAUCGGAAGGCGUGGAGGAAGGAGAAGGCAUGAACUCGCCGCAACCGUCUAGCGCGUGACCUCCAAUCGCGGCAGCGUGGUUCUUGAGGCAUUCUUUGUAUGUGACGGUGACUGUGUGGUGGUGGAUGUGGUGGUGGCGUUUGAUGAUUCCGUUGCUGAAGGAGAUCGGUUUAGCUGGUUGGAUCCGGGUUGGUGUUUCGGAUUCGGGUUCAGGAGAUUUAGGAGUCAUAUCCAUUGCUCCAACUUCAAGCAUCGAUGGCUUAAUUAUUUUCAAAGAUAAUCUUGAGAGAAAAGAAAACGAAAAUUAGGGUUUGGGUUUGUUAUUAUUAUUAUUAUUAUUAUUAAUAUUCUCGCCGCCAGAAACAGCGACGCCGUUGUCGAUCUUCUGGACGGUGGUGUCGCCGGAGAACGGCUGGUCGCGGCGGGUGUUGAAGGUGUUUUUGUUAUUGUGCAUCCAGACCUUGAGCACGCCUUUAUCAACAGGGAAGAGUCAUCGGGGUCACGGCGGUGGAAGUUACGGUGGCAACCGCAGGCGGCACACUUGAGGGAAGUUGGAUCGGAAGGCGUGGAGGAAGGAGAAGGCAUGAACUCGCCGCAACCGUCUAGCGCGUGACCUCCAAUCGCGGCAGCGUGGUUCUUGAGGCAUUCUUUGUAUGUGACGGUGACUGUGUGGUGGUGGAUGUGGUGGUGGCGUUUGAUGAUUCCGUUGCUGAAGGAGAUCGGUUUAGCUGGUUGGAUCCGGGUUGGUGUUUCGGAUUCGGG